This 253-nucleotide ribosomal RNA is filed under the name uncultured bacterium. RNAcentral describes it as "partial 16S ribosomal RNA". It matches the Rfam family "Bacterial small subunit ribosomal RNA", at positions 524 to 776 of the family's 1533-position model. The record is from RNAcentral.
UACAGAGGGUGCAAGCGUUGUUCGGAAUUAUUGGGCGUAAAGCGCGUGUAGGCGGCUUUGCAAGUCGGGUGUGAAAGCCCACGGCUCAACCGUGGAAGUGCGCCCGAAACUGCAGAGCUUGAGUACCAAAGAGGAUGGCGGAAUUCCCCAAGUAGAGGUGAAAUUCGUAGAUAUGGGGAGGAACACCGGUGGCGAAGGCGGCCAUCUGGGUGGUCACUGACGCUGAGACGCGAAAGCGUGGGUAGCAAACAGG